GGGGAUUUAGCUCAGUGGCGUAAGCGCCUGCCUUACGAGCAGGCAGUCAUGAGCUCGAUCCCCG
Molecule: transfer RNA, 64 nt
Filed under: Cavia porcellus (domestic guinea pig)
Lineage: Eukaryota; Metazoa; Chordata; Mammalia; Rodentia; Caviidae
Rfam family: tRNA
About the family: Transfer RNA (tRNA) molecules are approximately 80 nucleotides in length. Their secondary structure includes four short double-helical elements and three loops (D, anti-codon, and T loops).
Source: Rfam by way of RNAcentral